RNAcentral lists this ribosomal RNA (492 nucleotides) under uncultured bacterium. RNAcentral describes it as "bacterial SSU rRNA". It matches the Rfam family "Bacterial small subunit ribosomal RNA", at positions 30 to 518 of the family's 1533-position model. The record is from RNAcentral.
AUUGAACGCUGGCGGAAUGCUUUACACAUGCAAGUCGAACGGUAGAGGGGGGCAACCCCUUGAGAGUGGCGAACGGGUGAGUAAUAUAUCGGAACGUGCCCAGUCGUGGGGAUAACGUAGCGAAAGUUACGCUAAUACCGCAUACGAUCUAAGGAUGAAAGCGGGGGGAUCGCAAGACCUCGCGCGAUUGGAGCGGCCGAUAUCAGAUUAGGUAGUUGGUGGGGUAAAGGCUCACCAAGCCAACGAUCUGUAGCUGGUCUGAGAGGACGACCAGCCACACUGGAACUGAGACACGGUCCAGACUCCUACGGGAGGCAGCAGUGGGGAAUUUUGGACAAUGGACGCAAGUCUGAUCCAGCCAUUCCGCGUGCAGGAUGAAGGCCCUCGGGUUGUAAACUGCUUUUGUACGGAACGAAAAGGUUUCUCUUAAUACGAGGAGCUCAUGACGGUACCGUAAGAAUAAGCACCGGCUAACUACGUGCCAGCAGCCGC